GAACGCUAGCUACAGGCUUAACACAUGCAAGUUCGAGGGGCAGCAUGCUGGUAGCUUGCUACCAGUGAUGGCGACCGGCGCACGGGUGAGUAACGCGUAUCCAACUUCCAUGUCCACGGGAUAGCCCGUCAAGGGCGGAUUAAUACCGUAUGAGGUCACAUGCGGGCAUCUAAGUGUGACCGAAAGGUUUUGGCGGACAUGGAUGGGGAUGCGUCCGAUUAGCUAGUUGGCGGGGUAACGGCCCACCAAGGCGACGAUCGGUAGGGGUUCUGAGAGGAAGGUCCCCCACAUUGGAACUGAGACACGGUCCAAACUCCUACGGGAGGCAGCAGUGAGGAAUAUUGGUCAAUGGACGUAAGUCUGAACCAGCCAAGUAGCGUGCAGGAUGACGGCCCUAUGGGUUGUAAACUGCUUUUAUGCGGGGAUAAAGUGUGGGACGUGUCCCAUAUUGCAGGUACUGCAUGAAUAAGGACCGGCUAAUUCCGUG
Molecule: ribosomal RNA, 487 nt
Filed under: uncultured bacterium
Lineage: Bacteria
Description: bacterial SSU rRNA
Rfam family: Bacterial small subunit ribosomal RNA
Source: RNAcentral